Molecule: long non-coding RNA, 106 nt
Organism: Octopus sinensis (East Asian common octopus)
Lineage: Eukaryota; Metazoa; Mollusca; Cephalopoda; Octopoda; Octopodidae
Exons: 3
Source: RefSeq, a predicted model, not a curated record
AAUUUAUGACUGGUAUGGCUAGCGUGUUUAUCCCUAUUAUCUUAGUUUUAGCAUUAAGUUCAUUGUUUAAUAUUAGUCAGACUCUUCUUUAAUAGUCUCCAUAUUU